CGAUGACCUUGGGACGACGUGAAAAAGAAAAGAAGAAAAGAAGGAAGAAAGAGGAAAGGAAAAUGAAGAAGUUCGACAGACAACUAUUCAAUGCAAGAUGCAGACAAGGUAACCAAAUCUUCUUUUCAUUUAACAAGAUAUACGUUACAGGACCCGGUGGGUCAAGAAAAAGAUAUACAUCAUCGCAAGCCUCGCGAGCACGGCUUGGAAGGGGUAUACCGAAAACCGCUCCGAGCUGCAAACUCCUGU
RNAcentral lists this long non-coding RNA (249 nucleotides) under Elaeis guineensis (African oil palm). RNAcentral describes it as "long non-coding RNA (EGUI_LNC052442)". Lineage: Eukaryota; Viridiplantae; Streptophyta; Magnoliopsida; Arecales; Arecaceae. The record is from RNAcentral.